This 983-nucleotide long non-coding RNA is filed under the name Androctonus crassicauda. Lineage: Eukaryota; Metazoa; Arthropoda; Arachnida; Scorpiones; Buthidae. The record is from RNAcentral.
GUUCACCUAGCCCAGAUAGUUUUUUGAUUAAGAAUUUUAUUAAAAAAUUAUUUUUCCAAUAUAUACAAAAUUUAAAUUACCUGGACAAAUAAUUAGGAUCAAAGAUUUUCAAGUUUGGGGAAUACUUAUACUGGCAUUAUAUUGGAAAACUGGUUUGAUGCCAUGGAAUUUGCUACAUGGCAAAUUCCAUGGCAUCAAACUAGUCUGUUCAUCCUAUGAUUAUUGUUGAUAUUACAACUACAGCUCUUUAAAUUUAUUAAAAAUAAACACUAAAAUUACUAGAGUAUUGACAUCAUUUUGUAAUUUUUAUUUUAGCAUAAGUUUCAUGGAAAGAUUAUUUUACCAUUUCAAAAGUCUGUGUUAAAAAAGAUCAGUUUAAAUUAUUCAAAUAUCAAAGCUUGAACUUAAUUAAGAGAGAGCUUGCUUUGAUCAUUUGCUUAUUUGCUAGAAAAUUUAAAUUUUUCAAAUCAAACUGACUUAGCCAACAGCUUUGCAUGAGAGAAAUCAGAAAAGUAUGAUUUCAUUUAGUUGUGUGUGAUGAGAGAUUGAAUGGAAAUAUUGUGGACACAGACUGAUGAAAUGUGCAGAAAUAGGUUCAGAUCACUAAAUAAUAAUCUCAAGGAUUAAUUUGGUGAGAGUAUGAAAGUAUGAGCAGAAUGAAAGAAAUAUGGAUGUAGGUGAAAGUGGAAUAUUUGCAUGUGAAACAAAAAAUAUAUGAAAAGGAAACAUGUCAAGAGCUGUAUCCAGUAAAUUCAGAACAAAGAUAUUCUCUAAUUUAUAUAUAUACAACUUUUGUAAAAUUCAACUUUAUAAAAAUAUUUUCUGUAAAUUUUUUCGUUUUUCAAUUAUAGACAUAAACAUUUAUUAUAUUUGUAAGUUACAGUCUAAACAUGUUGGUUUGCAACAUUUAAAAGAUCAUAUUACUUUAUUUAUUUAUUUUGUGUAUAAACCAAAUUGAGAUCUAGUUCCCAAAAUAUGAUUAA